Molecule: microRNA precursor, 97 nt
Filed under: Cricetulus griseus (Chinese hamster)
Lineage: Eukaryota; Metazoa; Chordata; Mammalia; Rodentia; Cricetidae
Description: miRNA (ENSCGRG00000021770.1)
Source: RNAcentral
GAGAAAAGGUUGCUACAUUCAGUGACAUGAGAAAAAAACCUAGUGGGCAGGAGGGAUAGCUCAGCUGUUAAAGACUAGGCUCACAACCAAAAAUAUA